CGUACGCACGCACUUGCCACAAGGAGACGCUGUUCAGUUUACCGGAUCCUGUCCCGCGCCAGCCAACCAGGACAAGGCCGGGGAGCUCGAGACAGGCAGCCUAGACCAAGAACCGGAAGGAGGAAAAGGAACCGGAGGGAGGAAGAGGAGGGGCGGGACGAGACCACCAGGCAGGAUUUUUAAGCCCAGAGCUGCGAGACCAGCAGGAAGGAACUGGGAGAAACCAAUGGGGAGGGGAUGGGGGCGGGGCUGAGAGGAGGAGGGCGGAGCUGGGGGAGGGGAAGGGCGGGAGUGAGGAAACCGCUGGGGCGGGGUUGAGAGUGGGGCGGGGACUUGAGGGGAUGGGGCGGGGACUUGGGAUGGGGCGGGGACUCGAGGGGGUGGGGCGGGGCUGAGAGAAACCAUUGGGGGCGGGGCUAUGGGCGAUCUGGGCGAGGAGAGGCUGCAGGAGGAGCUCGCGGACUCCUGAGAACCAGCGCGGGGAGGGAGGGGGCUGGUGAGAGGAGGAAGGUGGGGCUGAAAGAAACCAGUGGGGAGGGGUUGGGGGCGGGGCUUUGGAAGCUGGUGCUGGAGAAGCAGGGCAGGGCUGGGGGAGGAGUGGGGCGGGGCGGGGUUCGGGGGGGGCUGGGGCUCGGGGAGGGGUGGGGCGGGGCUGAGGGAACCGCCGGGGAGGGGCUCGGGGGCGGGGCUUUGAAAACAGCCUUUGGAGAAGCGGGGCUGGGGGGGCGGGGCAGGGCCGAGGGGAACCUCUGGGGUGGGGCUGGGGGGUGGGGUUUGCACGCAGCCACAGGAGAAACAGGGCGGGGCUCAGAAAAGGGUUGGAUCGGGCUGAGAGAGACCGCUGAGGGGGGUGCUGGGGGCGGGGCUUUGGAAGCACCCGCGGGAGAAACAGGGAGGAGAUGGGGAGAGGCGGGGCUCGGCGCGGGGCGGGGCUUCGGAGGCAGCCGCGGGAGAAGCAGGGGGGGGUUCGGGGCAGGGCGGGUCUGAGCGAAGCCAUUGGGGAGCGGCUGGGGGCGGGGCCUUUUAACCAGCCGCAGGAGGAGCCGGGUGGGGCUGGGGCGGGGCGGAGCUGAGAGAAACCGCUGAGGAUGGGCUGGGGGCGGGGCCUUGGAAGCAGGCGUUGGAGGGGCGGGGUAGGGCCGGGCCGAGAGAAACCACUGGGGAGGGUCUGGGGUCGGGGCUUUGCCAUCAGUGGUGUGAGGAGCAGGCCGGGGCAGUGGGCAAUUGAGCGAGGAACAGCUGCGGGAGGACUCCGCGGACUCCUGAGAACCAGCUUAGGGGAGCGGCGGCUUGGGGAGGUGUAGGGUGGAAUCACGAGAAAGCUCUGUGGGAGGGCCUGGUGCACAGCUCAGCUGCAGGGUGGAGCUGAGGGAAAGCCGGGCGUUCCUGGAGGAGGAGCAGGGCGAGGCUGUGGCAAAGCGCUGUGGGAGCAGAUGGGGCGGGGCUGCGGGAAAGAGCUGGAGAAGGAGGAGCCAAGCUGCACCAAGGCUGGCGGGUGAGAAUUGCGGGGGAGGAGCUAGUGCAGAGCUGGAGGAAAGAGCUGAAAGGUUGUUGGGGUGGGCAGAGGGGUAGGAGAAGCGAGACGGGGCUAGAGGAGGCGGAGCUGGGAGCGGUGAUGAAGGGGUAGCAGGGCGGGGCAGUGGGAAAGAGCUGUGGGAGGAGGAGCUGGGGGUAAGAAGCUGGGGCUGUGGCUGCAGCGGGGACUGGGUCAGAGCUUCUGGAGGAGCCGCCUGCAAGAGGAGGGCGUAGUUGUGGGAAAGAGCUGUGGGCGGAAAUGGUUAAGUGCCGGGUGGAGCAGGGGCUGGCGUCGGAAUAGCUGGGGCGGAGCUGCGGGAGGAGGAGCUGGGGGGCGGAACUGUGGGAGGAACAGCUGGGGCGGAGCUGAGGGAGGAGGAGCAGGGGGGCAGAACAGCUGGGGUGGAGCUGUGGGCGGAGCUGCAAGAGGAGAAGUUGGGGACGGACUUGCAGGAGGAAAAGCUAGGGGUGGAGCUGUGGGUGGAGUUGGGGGAGGGAGCUGAGGCCCUUCUGUGAUGCACCCUUAGGCAAGAGUCCAAACUUUCCCGCGGCGACCUAACUGCACCUCCAGUGUCUUCCCCCAGAGGGCACAGAAGCAGCAAGAAGGGCGGGAACACUUGACUGGGGUCCAUGCAGCUCUAGGCUGAGUCUUGCAGGGCUGAGCCCCCCAGGCCUGCUCUCCUGUGUCCUGGCCGCUCCGUCAGUGCCUGCCAGUGGGGUCCAGAGGGACCGUUUUUUUAACGCCUCUUUUGCAGUCUCCCGCAUUGACUUCAUAACCAAGUUCUGGGUCCCUGCCUCUGGAGUGCCUGAUGAGACAAAACGGCUCCUCGUCCUGCAUCCCCGCUGCUACUUCCAGAAUUCAGGCCUCGUGGUCUGGAGCCUGCACUGUUCCAUGAGCCUCCUGAGCAACCUGGAGUCCUCUGUCUUUCUUCCCUCAGUGAGAUGCGCCUACUUCUCCCUGGAGAAGCUUGAGGAAGCAGAAAUGCUGGAGAUGAGCUGCUCCUCACUCUCACUCCUGGGUGUGCUGGGCAGUGGGGUGCAAUGUGCACGUAGGUGCACACUCUCCCUGGGCGGCAGCGAGCAGCAGAGGUCUGAUCUGUGGUCGGAUGACGAGAGGAAGUGCAAGUAAAGCAGCUGCAGCGAGACCUCGUCCGCACAGGGGCUUGUUCUUCUGUGUCUUUGCAGGGCUGUUUUGGACUCAGUAUUCACCUAAGCACUCCAAAUUACCCAGCACACCCUGCCUGCAUGGCGCUGCGCUGCACCUUCACUCUGGUCACGGGUCUGGCAGUCAGCUCACCAAUUCCUCCUGCUUCCCUGGGACUUGCCGGCUUUUAGCACUGCAAUUCACUCAGCAAACUGGGACUGUUGGUCACCCUACCUGGCAGCCAGUGAUAAGGUGAGGGCCACUCCUGGGAGGGAGGACACCUGUGGGGAAAAUUCUUGUGUUAUUUAUUUCUCCUUCGGGAUAGGGUGCCUGCAGCGCUUCAUGGGAGGGGGUGGGCUGAUGCUGCGGGCUCAGAAGUUUCAAGGGCAUCUGGGGAGACCAGAUAUUCAGAGACCUUCUAGAUGUGCCUGUUCCAUGUAUCAGGGACGCAGGUUUUCCCAACAGGGCUGGUGUCAUUGGCAUGACAGACCUGCCUUGGCUGAGCGUUCACCUGUCUUUGGAGUUCAGCCACCUUAGCAAGUCCUGGGUUUGUUCUUCAGACUUUGCUGCUCGCCCAUUGCCUGGAUCGGGGGCUACUUUGUAAACCACCAGGAAGACUCCAGUGUUUCUGGUUAAUUUUUAGAUGUUUGUUAAUUGCUCUUGGUCUCUCAUUAAUCCCCUGUGGGUCAUCCAGGAAACAUACUCACCACUGUCUGUUCUCUGAGUUUUCAUUUCCAGGCAUCCGCCCUGCCUGGAUCUCCUCACCUGCCAGGAACUUCCUCUCCACAAGCCGGCCAUCCCAGCAAAAGUUCUAACACCAAAGGUCUGGCAACUAGCCUGCCAUCUUGUGCCUGGAGCCGCCUGCGUGCCACCUACUCCCGAAGAUGGGAACCUUGUUGCCAGUUGGGCAGAUGCGGGGCAAUCCUGUACCAAGACCCCAUUUUACCACCUGCUUUCUCAGACCACUCUGGAACCCACUGUCUCAGAUUGUGUCCUCCAGGAAGCAGACCAUGAGAGGGAGUUGGCAGGGCCAAAGAUUUACUGGGGCUAACUAACACUCAGGAAAGGGAUAGGAAGGAAACAGGGCUGGAGAGCAGGUUGAGCCCGACCUGACAGUCUCGAGCAGCCCAACAGGGAGGUGUGGAGCAAGGGUUGCCCACUAGAGGGGCCUGCAUUGGGUACGGGUGAUGGGGUCCACAUGGUACCUGGCAUAUAGCAGGCUGUGCAAUCCAUAUUAACUGACUGGAUAAAUUAAUGCCCAGAAAAGGUGCCCUGGAGAAUGGGUGUGUGCUGAACACAAUAGGGAAGGGCCCAGCAUCUGCCUUGGCAUAGGCAGAACUGUGCUGUGCCCUGCAACAGGCCACCUGAGAGCUGCUUUGAUCUUGUGUGUACAUUAGAUGACUGCCAGGGGCAUGAAGGGGAUGUGCUUCCAGGGCAUUUGCUGGCAGGGCGUCUCGUGAUCUCUUGGUAUUGGUGUGAGCACAGCCUGGCAGGAGAGGGCAGAUCUCCAUGCAAAGUAUGUCAGAAAGCAGAUGGAAGCCAGGCCCCCUCCUGAAAGAGGCUCCUUGAAGGCUCCUGGGACCACAUUAUCAUUCUCUUCACUCGAGAGAUGAGGACACUGAAAUUCAGAGAGGGGAAGUGAUUUGCCUCAGCUUGUACUAAAGAAACAUUUCAACAGAGAACCCAGUGGAAAUUAUGACAUGUUAUCUUCUCAGAGUCCUGAACUCCCAUCCCUACCUCAGAAGAGACUCCUCUGUUCACAGAAGCUAAAGGCAGUUCCUUCCCAAUGGCAACUAUGUUUGGAUGUUGGAUCUACACUUUCUCAAGCACUGUGAUCUUCAAAUCAAAGGAGAUUUCUCCCAUUAUAUACUUCUUAUGAUCAACAAAUUCCAUCAUCUCCCCACUAAGAGAAAGUACUCCAAGAUGAUAGAAUGAUUUUAAAGUUAUGGGACUACAACAGCAGCCACAGGAACCUUGAGUAAGUACCAUGAACCCUGACCCUCAGCGUUAAUUUGUAAGCCUUUGGCAGUGAGAUGGAAUGUCUUCCUUCAGUUUGAAACAAAGGAAACCUAUUGCAUCGCACGUAAAUUUGUAUAUUGAUGCUAUAUUGACUUUGUAGCUGCCAUGCCUUCAUACAGACACCUCAUCCAGCCCCCACUGUUCCACUUAUUGUGAUGGUUUGUAUAUCUUUAUUUCAAAGAAGAUCUGUUUGAACCGUGUUUAAUUUCUUCUUUGACCUGCUUUCAUCACUGCCCAUGCCUACCCUGGUGGCAUUCUCAUCCACGAGACUACCACAUCCAUGCCACUAGGUGGCAUUCUCAUCCAUGAGACUACUGCACCCGUGCGCACGUCAAGAAGUAGCCAAGCCAUGGGCUGGAUUGUGCUUUUCCUGAGAGGAUGAAAGGCUUCAUGGAUACAUGCUAGUAUCCAUGUUCCUCUAUUCUCAAGUCAGGCACCAAGAUGAUGUUUCAUACCUGCCUGCCUUUCAAAGUCUCAUAAAUGUUCAUUGAAUAUCCACUCUAUGCAAGGCACUAGGGUAGUCACAGAGGCAAGGUUUGAGCUAAACUACAGGCCCUGCCCUCCAGGAGCUCCCGGUCUCAUGGCAGGGUGCAGAAGCCAGAAUAGAGGGCCAUGGCAUGGGAGAGAACUCUGCUGACCGGGAGCUCUGAAGGGUUAGGGGUCCAUGAGCCUGAUUUAUGGGGUCGUUGCCAUAGGAUUAGGGGCUCCCUGGCAUACAGUGAAUGGAGAGACUAGCAUUGCUGUGUUAUUUCACUGAGAGGGCACCAAUGUUCAGCCUCUGAGACCAGGGGAGGAAAGCAGUGGCCAUGAAUGUUCCCUCCCAUCCCGGGGACUGACUGGGCUCCUCCCACAGUCUCAGACACAGAGGAAGAAGUGUACUCACACUGCCCCAACACCAGUGAGUGGAAAUAUUUAUAGGUCUCUCAUUUGGUUUUAAUUUUUAUUUUUUUAUUUUUCAGAAAUUAAAAAAAAAAUCACACUCACAAAAUUAACCAUUACCCACAUUCCUACCAACAAGAAGUAACCAUUCUUAACCUUGUAAUAUGUUGGUUUCCAGAUUUAUGUUUAUGCUUUAAAAAAUUAUGCAGACAACAUAUUAGCACAUUGCCCCUUUUCUCAUUUGUUUUAAUCCAUGUUCUUCCCAUUUAUACAGGAGCAAUUCUUGCAUUCAGUUAUGGGAUACUAUAAAUGCCUAGUAUAAUGGCAGCAGAGAGAAUUACUAUGGUUGUAUACCUUUUCUCGCUCCUUGCUCCUCAAAUGCCUUAGAGUUUAAAAUCUAUUGUGGAAAGUUUGUGAAAUGCAGAACGGUGAAAAUAAACAAAUUACCAGUGGUUCUUUGGCUUCGGGAGAACUGUAAUUGAUGUUCAUUUUGGUAUAUUUCCCUCCAGUAUUUUUUCCAUAUGGUUUUAUUUUUAAAAAUUUU
This 6101-nucleotide long non-coding RNA is filed under the name Homo sapiens (human). Its description in RNAcentral is "non-protein coding LINC00894:38". Lineage: Eukaryota; Metazoa; Chordata; Mammalia; Primates; Hominidae. The record is from RNAcentral.